GAACGGUAGCACACAGAGCUUGCUCUCGGGUGACGAGUGGCGGACGGGUGAGUAAUGUCUGGGAAACUGCCUGAUGGAGGGGGAUAACUACUGGAAACGGUAGCUAAUACCGCAUAACGUCGCAAGACCAAAGUGGGGGACCUUCGGGCCUCAUGCCAUCAGAUGUGCCCAGAUGGGAUUAGCUAGUAGGUGGGGUAACGGCUCACCUAGGCGACGAUCCCUAGCUGGUCUGAGAGGAUGACCAGCCACACUGGAACUGAGACACGGUCCAGACUCCUACGGGAGGCAGCAGUGGGGAAUAUUGCACAAUGGGCGCAAGCCUGAUGCAGCCAUGCCGCGUGUAUGAAGAAGGCCUUCGGGUUGUAAAGUACUUUCAGCGAGGAGGAAGGCGUUGAGGUUAAUAACCUCAUCGAUUGACGUUACUCGCAGAAGAAGCACCGGCUAACUCCGUGCCAGCAGCCGCGGUAAUACGGAGGGUGCAAGCGUUAAUCGGAAUUACUGGGCGUAAAGCGCACGCAGGCGGUCUGUUAAGUCAGAUGUGAAAUCCCCGGGCUCAACCUGGGAACUGCAUUUGAAACUGGCAGGCUUGAGUCUUGUAGAGGGGGGUAGAAUUCCAGGUGUAGCGGUGAAAUGCGUAGAGAUCUGGAGGAAUACCGGUGGCGAAGGCGGCCCCCUGGACAAAGACUGACGCUCAGGUGCGAAAGCGUGGGGAGCAAAC
Molecule: ribosomal RNA, 718 nt
Filed under: Klebsiella sp. T37
Lineage: Bacteria; Pseudomonadati; Pseudomonadota; Gammaproteobacteria; Enterobacterales; Enterobacteriaceae
Description: bacterial SSU rRNA
Rfam family: Bacterial small subunit ribosomal RNA
Source: RNAcentral